ACACAGGCACGGGGUGCCGGGUUGGCCAUUGUGACACAGGCAUGGUGCGUCAGGGCCCGCGGUGACGCGGGACCUUGCGGUGCCCAAAGUCCAUUGUGACAUGGCAGAGCCCCGCCCCGGCUGGGGGGUAUAUAAAGGGCUUGUGGGGCCCGGGUCAGUCCCAGAACAGUGGCUGUGUCCAGGUAGCUGUGUGCGCCAGAGGACUGCAGGCACAGAGGAGGAGAAGGCGAAUCCCAACUCCCAGCCCCCCAGGCCCUGGCCCUGCUCACAGAGAGCCCAGGCCUUGAGGGAGCAGCAGGAGGAGGCUGAGAGGGCAAGCAGAGGGAGGAGAGGAGCCGUGGAGUCCUGUGCUGAGGAAGAGCCAGAGCUCUACGGAGGAGACAUGGACAAGUUCCAGCAAGGGACUCCAGGGGAAGCUUGCACUGAGCCACAGCUGUCCCCAGGAGAAGCCCAUAGCUGCCAGGAGCUCUCUGAGGGGGAUGAAGGCCUUGAGCCGGUCCAAGUAUGGGGGAGCUCCUGGCAUUUCCGGGACUGGGAUGAGGGCACGGAGAAAGAGCCCUCCCCAGUUGUCUCCGACUGGGAUGAGUGCAGGGGGCAGGAGCCGUGGCAGGCAGACAGUGAUUACUGUCAGGAUUUCUCAGAUUGGGAAGAAUCUCCUGAGCAGCGGCUGUCCCCAGGAGAAGGCACGAGCCGCCGGGCACUGUUGGACUGGGAAGCUUGCCAAAAGCAAGAGCUGCCCCAGGAUGGCCUGGAGUUGACUGGAGGCAAAGCGAAGAGAAAAUCCUCCAGGUCCAGCUGGGACGAUGAUAGUGAUGGAGAGCUGGCGCAGGACAGCAGGGAAUACUGUGACAUCCUGUGCAGCCAUCACAAGCCCUGGCAGCGGGAGGACGAUGACUGGGAUGAGGUGAGCGUCCUGGAGCUGCAUGAGGAAGGAGAAGAGCCCAGGCAGCAGAGACUGGUGGAUUUAGCCGGAGAGGGAAUCCUGCUGCCUGUCCCUAGAGAAGCUUGGGUGGAGUGCCAGGAACCCGAGCUGUGCCCGCAAGAGAAACUCUGGGCCGGGCCUGGCGCUCUGGCAGCCCAAGCCACAAUGGAAGUUGUCUCUUCUCCUGUGCAGCCGCUUCCCCCCAGGAAAGGCCGCUCGCUCUUGAGGCGGGCGCUGCGGGCGCUGCGGGGGCUGCGGGGGCUGCAGGGGCUGUUCCGCU
RNAcentral lists this long non-coding RNA (1202 nucleotides) under Cyanistes caeruleus (blue tit). Its description in RNAcentral is "lncRNA (ENSCCEG00000004146.1)". Lineage: Eukaryota; Metazoa; Chordata; Aves; Passeriformes; Paridae. The record is from RNAcentral.